Molecule: ribosomal RNA, 1353 nt
Filed under: uncultured bacterium
Lineage: Bacteria
Description: 16S ribosomal RNA
Rfam family: Bacterial small subunit ribosomal RNA
Source: RNAcentral
GCCUAACACAUGCAAGUCGAGGGGUAACGGGGGCUUCGGCUCGCUGACGACCGGCGCACGGGUGAGUAACGCGUAUGCAACCUGCCUGUAACAGCGGGAUAGCUCCCUGAAAGGGGAAUUAACACCGCAUAACACCACGCUCUCGCAUGGGGACGGGGUAAAAUAUUUAUAGGUUACAGAUGGGCAUGCGUGACAUUAGUUAGUUGGUGAGGUAACGGCUCACCAAGACUGCGAUGUCUAGGGGUUCUGAGAGGAAGGUCCCCCACACUGGAACUGAGACACGGUCCAGACUCCUACGGGAGGCAGCAGUGAGGAAUAUUGGUCAAUGGACGCAAGUCUGGACCAGCCAUGUCGCGUGCAGGAUGACUGCCCUAUGGGUUGUAAACUGCUUUUAUAUUGGAAGAAUUGCGCUUACGAGUUAAGCGUUUGACGGUACAUUAUGAAUAAGGAUCGGCUAACUCCGUGCCAGCAGCCGCGGUAAUACGGAGGAUCCGAGCGUUAUCCGGAAUUAUUGGGUUUAAAGGGUGCGUAGGCGGCCAUUUAAGUCAGCGGUGAAAUUUUGCAGCUUAACUGUAACAGUGCCGUUGAUACUGUUUGGCUAGGAUUUGGUUGUAGUGUGCGGAAUGUGUGGUGUUGCGGUGAAAUGCUUAGAUAUCACACAGAACACCGAUUGCGAAGGCAGCACACUAAGUCAUUAUUGACGCUGAGGCACGAAAGUGUGGGGAUCAAACAGGAUUAGAUACCCUGGUAGUCCACACUGUAAACGAUGAUAACUCGCUGUCGGCGAUACACAGUCGGUGGCCAAGCGAAAGCAUUAAGUUAUCCACCUGGGGAGUACGACCGCAAGGUUGAAACUCAAAGGAAUUGACGGGGGCCCGCACAAGCGGAGGAACAUGUGGUUUAAUUCGAUGAUACGCGAGGAACCUUACCCGGGCUCGAACGGUGCAUGAAUAUACGAGAGAUUGUAUAGUCCUUCGGGACAUGUAUCGAGGUGCUGCAUGGUUGUCGUCAGCUCGUGCCGUGAGGUGUCGGCUUAAGUGCCAUAACGAGCGCAACCCUUGUCAUUAGUUGCCAUCAGGUCAAGCUGGGGACUUUAAUGAGACUGCCACCGUAAGGUGUGAGGAAGGGGGGGAUGACGUCAAAUCAGCACGGCCCUUAUGUCCGGGGCGACACACGUGUUACAAUGGGAGGUACAGAGGGCAGCUAUCCGGUGACGGAAUGCUAAUCUCCAAAACCUUUCUCAGUUCGGAUUGGAGUCUGCAACUCGACUCCAUGAAGGUGGAUUCGCUAGUAAUCGCGCAUCAGCCAUGGCGCGGUGAAUACGUUCCCGGGCCUUGUACACACCGCCCGUCA